RNAcentral lists this ribosomal RNA (2933 nucleotides) under Escherichia coli. RNAcentral describes it as "bacterial LSU rRNA". It matches the Rfam family "Bacterial large subunit ribosomal RNA". Lineage: Bacteria; Pseudomonadati; Pseudomonadota; Gammaproteobacteria; Enterobacterales; Enterobacteriaceae. The record is from RNAcentral.
GGGUUGUGAGGUUAAGCGACUAAGCGUACACGGUGGAUGCCCUGGCAGUCAGAGGCGAUGAAGGACGUGCUAAUCUGCGAUAAGCGUCGGUAAGGUGAUAUGAACCGUUAUAACCGGCGAUUUCCGAAUGGGGAAACCCAGUGUGAUUCGUCACACUAUCAUUAACUGAAUCCAUAGGUUAAUGAGGCGAACCGGGGGAACUGAAACAUCUAAGUACCCCGAGGAAAAGAAAUCAACCGAGAUUCCCCCAGUAGCGGCGAGCGAACGGGGAGCAGCCCAGAGCCUGAAUCAGUGUGUGUGUUAGUGGAAGCGUCUGGAAAGGCGCGCGAUACAGGGUGACAGCCCCGUACACAAAAAUGCACAUACUGUGAGCUCGAUGAGUAGGGCGGGACACGUGGUAUCCUGUCUGAAUAUGGGGGGACCAUCCUCCAAGGCUAAAUACUCCUGACUGACCGAUAGUGAACCAGUACCGUGAGGGAAAGGCGAAAAGAACCCCGGCGAGGGGAGUGAAAAAGAACCUGAAACCGUGUACGUACAAGCAGUGGGAGCACAGAGCAAUCUGUGUGACUGCGUACCUUUUGUAUAAUGGGUCAGCGACUUAUAUUCUGUAGCAAGGUUAACCGAAUAGGGGAGCCGAAGGGAAACCGAGUCUUAACUGGGCGUUAAGUUGCAGGGUAUAGACCCGAAACCCGGUGAUCUAGCCAUGGGCAGGUUGAAGGUUGGGUAACACUAACUGGAGGACCGAACCGACUAAUGUUGAAAAAUUAGCGGAUGACUUGUGGCUGGGGGUGAAAGGCCAAUCAAACCGGGAGAUAGCUGGUUCUCCCCGAAAGCUAUUUAGGUAGCGCCUCGUGAAUUCAUCUCCGGGGGUAGAGCACUGUUUCGGCAAGGGGGUCAUCCCGACUUACCAACCCGAUGCAAACUGCGAAUACCGGAGAAUGUUAUCACGGGAGACACACGGCGGGUGCUAACGUCCGUCGUGAAGAGGGAAACAACCCAGACCGCCAGCUAAGGUCCCAAAGUCAUGGUUAAGUGGGAAACGAUGUGGGAAGGCCCAGACAGCCAGGAUGUUGGCUUAGAAGCAGCCAUCAUUUAAAGAAAGCGUAAUAGCUCACUGGUCGAGUCGGCCUGCGCGGAAGAUGUAACGGGGCUAAACCAUGCACCGAAGCUGCGGCAGCGACGCUUAUGCGUUGUUGGGUAGGGGAGCGUUCUGUAAGCCUGCGAAGGUGUGCUGUGAGGCAUGCUGGAGGUAUCAGAAGUGCGAAUGCUGACAUAAGUAACGAUAAAGCGGGUGAAAAGCCCGCUCGCCGGAAGACCAAGGGUUCCUGUCCAACGUUAAUCGGGGCAGGGUGAGUCGACCCCUAAGGCGAGGCCGAAAGGCGUAGUCGAUGGGAAACAGGUUAAUAUUCCUGUACUUGGUGUUACUGCGAAGGGGGGACGGAGAAGGCUAUGUUGGCCGGGCGACGGUUGUCCCGGUUUAAGCGUGUAGGCUGGUUUUCCAGGCAAAUCCGGAAAAUCAAGGCUGAGGCGUGAUGACGAGGCACUACGGUGCUGAAGCAACAAAUGCCCUGCUUCCAGGAAAAGCCUCUAAGCAUCAGGUAAGAUCAAAUCGUACCCCAAACCGACACAGGUGGUCAGGUAGAGAAUACCAAGGCGCUUGAGAGAACUCGGGUGAAGGAACUAGGCAAAAUGGUGCCGUAACUUCGGGAGAAGGCACGCUGAUAUGUAGGUGAAGUCCCUCGCGGAUGGAGCUGAAAUCAGUCGAAGAUACCAGCUGGCUGCAACUGUUUAUUAAAAACACAGCACUGUGCAAACACGAAAGUGGACGUAUACGGUGUGACGCCUGCCCGGUGCCGGAAGGUUAAUUGAUGGGGUUAGCGCAAGCGAAGCUCUUGAUCGAAGCCCCGGUAAACGGCGGCCGUAACUAUAACGGUCCUAAGGUAGCGAAAUUCCUUGUCGGGUAAGUUCCGACCUGCACGAAUGGCGUAAUGAUGGCCAGGCUGUCUCCACCCGAGACUCAGUGAAAUUGAACUCGCUGUGAAGAUGCAGUGUACCCGCGGCAAGACGGAAAGACCCCGUGAACCUUUACUAUAGCUUGACACUGAACAUUGAGCCUUGAUGUGUAGGAUAGGUGGGAGGCUUUGAAGUGUGGACGCCAGUCUGCAUGGAGCCGACCUUGAAAUACCACCCUUUAAUGUUUGAUGUUCUAACGUUGACCCGUGAUCCGGGUUGCGGACAGUGUCUGGUGGGUAGUUUGACUGGGGCGGUCUCCUCCUAAAGAGUAACGGAGGAGCACGAAGGUUGGCUAAUCCUGGUCGGACAUCAGGAGGUUAGUGCAAUGGCAUAAGCCAGCUUGACUGCGAGCGUGACGGCGCGAGCAGGUGCGAAAGCAGGUCAUAGUGAUCCGGUGGUUCUGAAUGGAAGGGCCAUCGCUCAACGGAUAAAAGGUACUCCGGGGAUAACAGGCUGAUACCGCCCAAGAGUUCAUAUCGACGGCGGUGUUUGGCACCUCGAUGUCGGCUCAUCACAUCCUGGGGCUGAAGUAGGUCCCAAGGGUAUGGCUGUUCGCCAUUUAAAGUGGUACGCGAGCUGGGUUUAGAACGUCGUGAGACAGUUCGGUCCCUAUCUGCCGUGGGCGCUGGAGAACUGAGGGGGGCUGCUCCUAGUACGAGAGGACCGGAGUGGACGCAUCACUGGUGUUCGGGUUGUCAUGCCAAUGGCACUGCCCGGUAGCUAAAUGCGGAAGAGAUAAGUGCUGAAAGCAUCUAAGCACGAAACUUGCCCCGAGAUGAGUUCUCCCUGACUCCUUGAGAGUCCUGAAGGAACGUUGAAGACGACGACGUUGAUAGGCCGGGUGUGUAAGCGCAGCGAUGCGUUGAGCUAACCGGUACUAAUGAACCGUGAGGCUUAACCUUACAACGCCGAAGGUGUUU